This 108-nucleotide ribosomal RNA is filed under the name uncultured ectomycorrhiza (Basidiomycota). Its description in RNAcentral is "partial 28S ribosomal RNA". It matches the Rfam family "Eukaryotic large subunit ribosomal RNA", at positions 1 to 108 of the family's 3401-position model. The record is from RNAcentral. Lineage: Eukaryota; Fungi; Basidiomycota.
UGAUCUCAAAUCAGGUAAGACUACCCGCUGAACUUAAGCAUAUCAAUAAGCGGAGGAAAAGAAACUAACGAGGAUUCCCCUAGUAACUGCGAGUGAAGCGGGAAGAGC